ACUGCAGGCUGGGGCUCCGCUCCCCGGCGGGAGCCCGCGCGUGGUUCCCAGCGAAGUCCCCGCGCGGCUGGGCCCAGCGUGAGUAUUCUCCGCCCGCUGUCCUCCCCCUGGAGGCGGCAGCGCCCGUUUAUUUGAGGCUUCUAAUGUGAGGAAAAACACGGAAUGACAAGUGUGGGAAAGAGCAAGCACUAAAUUACUGUCAGAAAAAUAAACGGAGUAGCACAGUGCUGCUCGGUGAUUUACGGGGGCAAUUAGUCACCACCCCACGGCGCUGCUGAGGACAGCACGGCAGCAGACAAGUCAGGCCCAUGAGGAAGAAGAGGCUUUGCACUGCUCUCCAGACAACUUUUCAAACAACAAGAGAGGAUAUUUGAGCACAUUAGGUUUUGUGUCUUCAUUCUGGGUACCUACUCUUCAUAUUAUUCUACCAACUUAAUACAUAAACAUAUUUUUAGCACAAUAUGAACCUGUUCUAUGUGUGUUUAAAAGCCUCCAGCAGCAACUUUUUUCUCUCCCACUGUCCAAAGUUGGGUUUUCCCCAUCCCUUAAAAAACAAAACAAAAAAACCUUUCUUCACUCCAAAUUGUCCCCCUGGUGUGUGGUUUUGGUCUUUCUCAUUACUUCUUGCAUCUUGCUACAUGUUCUGCAUUUGCUCAGAGCCACUGGGUGCUAAGGAAUUUGGUCUGCUGCUCCUCUGGGAAAGUUUGGUAAGCUGGUACAAGGAGGUGAUGAACAAGGCUAAAUGAAAAUCAUACAUAAACUUCCCAAUAUUUGUGAACAUGUUCUUUAACAUACCAUACAUAGUUUC
Molecule: long non-coding RNA, 808 nt
Filed under: Homo sapiens (human)
Lineage: Eukaryota; Metazoa; Chordata; Mammalia; Primates; Hominidae
Description: non-protein coding lnc-ZNF644-1:4
Source: RNAcentral